This 28-nucleotide non-coding RNA is filed under the name Homo sapiens (human). The record is from RNAcentral. Lineage: Eukaryota; Metazoa; Chordata; Mammalia; Primates; Hominidae.
GGACAGUUGCUGGAGCCAUGGUAGAACC